CCCCAGCGCCACAAGUGGUGAUCAGCAUUAUUUGGCCUAAAGCGUCCGUAGCUGGUUGAGUAAAUCUUUUGUGAAAUCGUUCUGCUUAACAGAUCGGCGUGCAGGAGAGACUGCUCGACUAGGGACUGGGAGGAGUUAGGGGUAUGCUGUAGGGAGCGGUAAAAUGCUAUAAUCUACAGUAGACCACCUGUGGCGAAGGCGCCUAACUAGAACAGGUCCGACAGUGAGGGACGAAAGCCAGGGGAGCAAACCGGAUUAGAUACCCGAGUAGUCCUGGCCGUAAACGCUGCGAGCUAGGUGUUGCACAUUCUUCGUGAUUGUGCAGUGUCGAAGCGAAGGUGUUAAGCUCGCCGCCUGGGAAGUACGGUCGCAAGACUGAMACUUAA
This 386-nucleotide ribosomal RNA is filed under the name uncultured euryarchaeote. RNAcentral's name for it is "bacterial SSU rRNA". It matches the Rfam family "Archaeal small subunit ribosomal RNA", at positions 474 to 859 of the family's 1478-position model. The record is from RNAcentral. Lineage: Archaea; Methanobacteriati; Methanobacteriota.